CAGUCGCCACGGUAAUACGAAGGGGGCUAGCGUUGCUCGGAAUGACUGGGCGUAAAGGGCGCGUAGGCGGAUUGUUUAGUUAGGCGUGAAAUUCCUGGGCUUAACCUGGGGGCUGCGCUUAAUACAGGCAGUCUAGAGUGAGGAAGAGGGUUGUGGAAUUCCCAGUGUAGAGGUGAAAUUCGUAGAUAUUGGGAAGAACACCGGUGGCGAAGGCGGCAACCUGGUCCUUGACUGACGCUGAGGCGCGAAAGCGUGGGGAGCAAACAGGAUUAGAUACCCCGGUAGUCCCUGUCUCUUAUAC
RNAcentral lists this ribosomal RNA (301 nucleotides) under uncultured bacterium. RNAcentral's name for it is "partial 16S ribosomal RNA". It matches the Rfam family "Bacterial small subunit ribosomal RNA", at positions 509 to 807 of the family's 1533-position model. The record is from RNAcentral.